RNAcentral lists this small nucleolar RNA (130 nucleotides) under Prolemur simus (greater bamboo lemur). The record is from RNAcentral. Lineage: Eukaryota; Metazoa; Chordata; Mammalia; Primates; Lemuridae.
GUUGAAGUCUAUCCCAAUGGGGCUUUAUUACUACAGCCACAGAUCACUGGAAACAGCUCAUAGAGUAACUCUGUGGUCUUGCCUUGCUCACAAGACUGCUAAAUCUGUGGGAAGGAACUAUAAGACAGUU